UACUCCUACGGGAGGCAGCAGUGGGGAAUUUUGGACAAUGGGCGAAAGCCUGAUCCAGCAAUGCCGCGUGUGUGAAGAAGGCCUUCGGGUUGUAAAGCACUUUUGUCCGGAAAGAAAUCCUUGGCUCUAAUACAGUCGGGGGAUGACGGUACCGGAAGAAUAAGCACCGGCUAACUACGUGCCAGCAGCCGCGGUAAUACGUAGGGUGCAAGCGUUAAUCGGAAUUACUGGGCGUAAAGCAUGCGCAGGCGGUUUGCUAAGACCGAUGUGAAAUCCCCGGGCUCAACCUGGGAACUGCAUUGGUGACUGGCAGGCUAGAGUAUGGCAGAGGGGGGUAGAAUUCCACGUGUAGCAGUGAAAUGCGUAGAGAUGUGGAGGAAUACCGAUGGCGAAGGCAGCCCCCUGGGCCAAUACUGACGCUCAUGCACGAAAGCGUGGGGAGCAAACAGGAUUAGAUACCCUGGUAGUCCACGCCCUAAACGAUGUCAACUAGUUGUUGGGGAUUCAUUUCCUUAGUAACGUAGCUAACGCGUGAAGUUGACCGCCUGGGGAGUACGGUCGCAAGAUUAAAACUCAAAGGAAUUGACGGA
This 590-nucleotide ribosomal RNA is filed under the name uncultured bacterium. Its description in RNAcentral is "bacterial SSU rRNA". It matches the Rfam family "Bacterial small subunit ribosomal RNA", at positions 334 to 917 of the family's 1533-position model. The record is from RNAcentral.